This is a long non-coding RNA of Etheostoma spectabile (orangethroat darter), 122 nucleotides long. RefSeq lists it as uncharacterized. The record is from RefSeq and is a predicted model, not a curated record. NCBI's taxonomy places the organism in Eukaryota, Metazoa, Chordata, Actinopteri, Perciformes, Percidae. The transcript is spliced from 3 exons.
GUCCAGCUGCUGCUCUGCCCCGGUUGAGGCCCAAACAGACGCUAAAGGGUGAUUUUUGGGUCGGUAUCUGACGCUGAGAGCCACUGACCAAGUGUCAGUAUUUGAUGAAUUGGGAGUCAGAA